AACGGCAAUUGCAGUCACAAAAGGAAUCUUCGCUUCGUCCAUUGAAUGACGCCAAAUACUGUGAAUUGCUGGUGAUAUACACAUCUUGAAAAAUCACUAAAUCAACGCCAUUUGUAUAUGCGCCAGCGUGGCAGCGUGUGGCAAACCAAACAGUGGGCUGCCCGAUGUGGUGAGAAAGAGUACUUCUCAAGAGAAAAGUUCAUAUAUGGCACGAAAGAACGUGUGGCGUGAGGGCAGCACUGUAGCGGUUUGCAGUAAUGAGCUGUGAGAUUUCAAAAUGACUUUGGUGAUGGAACCGUCAGACGAGUCUGAAGACGAUUUACACGAAUUUAGAAGGAAGAAAAGGCGCCCCGAACUGUGGAAGACGAAUGUGAUUAAACAAAAGAAGGUCUAGGGUUUGGAGCAUACCAACUGCAAAGGAAACAUUGUUCCUAGGAGGAAAACAGGUGCAGAUUGCAGAUAAAUAGUAAUACAAUAUGCCGGCGUAAAUGUUUUGGGAAGUUAUCAUUUGCUGAGAAGGAACUAUUGUUGACAGAAUUCAACAAUAUGCCCAACAAAGAUGGACAGGAUGGGUACUUGAGUGCUCACAUUCCUCCCUUCAUUCCAAAAGCAAGGAGACCACGCCUAAAUUUCAUUACCAAUCGUGGAAGGACAGUAAACUAUUGUUAUAAGGUUAAAGUUGGCUUCAAGGAAACUGUGGUAUUCAAGAAACCUUUUAGUGCACUCCAUGGCAUAACGAAACGACGAGUGGAGAGACUGUACCACUUAAGUCAAGGAGGAGUGACUUCGCCACAUGAUGGUCGUGGGUGACACCAAAACAAUUAUUCCGUUCCAGAAAAUACCAAUGUCAUGGUAGCGGAAUUCAUUGAGUCGUUUCCAGUAAGGGUAGCACAUUAUGGACGUUGUGGUAGGAAGAAGAGAUCCCUCUCAAGUUCUUUAUCUGUGAAAACCGUGUGGGAAAUCUUUCUUGAAAAAUACAACCCCGAAAUGUACAUAAUUUAUAGGUCUCAAAGUAACACUACUGACCCAGGGUUGUUCAAACCAAAGGUUCGAUAUUUUUAUUUUUAUGAUUAUUUCAAGAAUAAUUACAACUGUGGCUUUGGUCGUCCUAGAGUCGAGGUCUGUGGUGAAUGUGAAAGGCUAACAUGUAUAAUAGAAGAACAACCCUGCUACCAAGAUUGCAGCGCAAAAUGAGUUGAAACUCCAUAAGCUUUGGGCACGUCAGUUCUAUGAUAACAUGUCACGUUGUGAAAAACUGUACAAGGAGAAGAGGUGGGAGAAUCAGAAAUAAUCACAUUCAUUUUCAUGCAGAACGUACCUAUCCCAGACUUACCGGUAUGUGAUAUGUUCUAUUUGCGGCAUCCAUGGGUAUUUAUAUUUGGUAUUCAUAGAUUUUCUGAUAACAAAGCUUUCAUUUAUAUGUUUGAUGAAGUAACCGCUAAGAAAGGUCCCAAUGCAGUGGUUUCUCUCCUUAUGGAUUUCAUAACUAAACAUGUGGCUUCUAGUGUGAAAAGGUUGUAUCCAUUUUCAGAUGUCAGUACAGGACAGAAUCGGAAUCGCACAGUGGUUCAAUUUUGGUACACUUCAGUUCAUAGUGGUAGAUUUUCCAACGUUUUCCACAUGUUCCCAACCUGUGGGCAUUCCUACAAUGCCUGUGAUAGGGACUUAACGGGUAUGGAAUUACGGAAAAGGAAACAGGACACAGUGUAUACUCCCCACCAAUGGUUCACAGUACUACAGGAAGCAAGGAAACGAAUUCAUAUUGAACUAUGCACACAAGGCGCGUUUCUUGACUAUCAGAAACAUCUAGAUUCAUUUUUUAAGAAAUCUGUAACUGUGAAAGGAGAAAAAUGGAUUGUUACGCGUUACAAACUAUUUUGAGUACACUGACCAGUCAAAAUGCGUCUCUGUUUCACCCAAUAGCAGUGGAAUGUUCAAAUAUGAUUUUUGUUUGGUUAAGGCUGGGACAGUCCCCCAUUUCCAUAAUGUGCCGAGAGCAUACGUGGACGUCAUUCCAGUGAAACCUGAGAAACUGAAGGAUAUUUCACGCAUGAUUGACGUUAUCCCUUUGCAGUUUCGUGGGUAUUUUGAUAGGCAUCUAUAUCAAUGCGACAUUAACAGACUGCCUCGUUGAGAGGAUGAGUGAAUCUGGAAGUGAAGUUUGGGACAGUGAUCAAGAGUGACAAAUUUAUGAACAUAUAUCUCUGUCAAUACAAAAAUGUUUUUUUAAUAAGUAAAACGUGUGGAAU
This is a long non-coding RNA of Schistocerca nitens (vagrant locust), 2249 nucleotides long. RefSeq lists it as uncharacterized. NCBI's taxonomy places the organism in Eukaryota, Metazoa, Arthropoda, Insecta, Orthoptera, Acrididae. The record is from RefSeq and is a predicted model, not a curated record. The transcript is spliced from 4 exons.